This is a long non-coding RNA of Zingiber officinale, 2990 nucleotides long. RefSeq lists it as uncharacterized. NCBI's taxonomy places the organism in Eukaryota, Viridiplantae, Streptophyta, Magnoliopsida, Zingiberales, Zingiberaceae. The record is from RefSeq and is a predicted model, not a curated record. The transcript is spliced from 7 exons.
UUACCUUCACGCGGACGAACAGAACUCACGAUCUGCUGCUCGCGACUUCUCUUAGGCUAGGGCACGCGAUUUCCCCACCGCCAGCCACUCUCUUCCUUUCUUCUUCCUCACCACAGGCCGGCGGCUCUUUCCUUACCUUCACUGCCGCCGGCCGGUCCCCACAUCCAUUUCUCCUCUUCUCCGAUCUGCUCAACUCCGCGACGACAGCAGCUCCGGCGGUCUCUUUGAGCGGACAGCAGUGUGGGUCUAGGGUUCUCUUGACGGCGGAGCGUUCUCCUCCGGCAAGGUAUUCCUUCAUCAUUCCUACCUCAACGGACAUCUUCCUGUGGACGGCGUUCCGAAAGCAGAGGAUUCCAGCAGAGGAAUCCGACUGUGCCUUAUUCUCCAGCGAGCUUCUUCUCAACUUCAUCACUGACGUUGUUGGAUCUCCUGGUGACGGCGUUCUGUAAACAGAAGGUUCCAUCUCAGUGCAUACUCCAAUUCCAGCACAAGCUCUCCAAUUCCGGCAGAUCACUCAAGCAAGCUGGUCGUGAUCAGGGGUAGUCGUUGUGUGCUGUUCACCAGUGAUGGCGUUCCAGAUCUGGUACCUUUGUGUGACGGCGAAGGGUAGUUGAAUGGGUGUAUGAUCGCAGAGGAGUGGAUUUGGUGGAGAUGGAGAUGUUGCUAGAACUUUACCCAAAGCAUUGGCCAAGAGAGGACAUCGUGUAAUGGUUCCUUGGCGUGUCCCAUGUGGUUGAUUUUUCUGAUAAGGGAUUUAUGAUAUGUACCCCAAUGUGCCUGGGUAAUACACAACAUUGCACAUCAGGAUGAUUUCUUGAAUUUCAUAAUUAUGUUCAUGGCGAGCUAUGCUUAUGUUAAGAACCCUUAUCCGAGAUCUAAAAUGGUUGAAGUACUAAAUUAUUGGUUACCAAAAAGAAGGGAUCAUUGUAGUUUGAGUUAGAGCUUUGGAUUAUUCAAGACAAAGUUCCAGCAAUUUCAAAAGUUGAAACUAAAGAUCUUUAAACUGUUUCAAUUUUUACGAGUUAUUGUUAAUUUUGGUGACUUUACUGUUACCAAGAAAUAUUACUGGUGGAUUAAUUAAUUCUUUUCUCUUUUUCAGAUUGAAAGGGUAGCUAGCAUGCUAAUUCACUUUCUCUUGCAACUUGCUGAUCUUCAACGGAGGUUUCGUAACAUAAAAGAUCCUGAAAAAUAUGAAUUUAGAACCAGACAAUUGUGAAAACAAGUUAGUGCAAUGCCCAUUUGAUUUUUCGUAUGAUCUUAAAUUACAUUGUUGUUUAAUGCCUGUGAAUUUGCUGUGAAAGAUUGUCGAGAUUUAUGUUCAUAUUGCAAGAGGUGAUAAAGAGAAUGUAUUUCUUGUUGUAAUCUUGAAGGAUGGAUAAGCAUACAAUGAGAGGUGUCUCCUAUGCACGAUUAUCUUGUAUGGAUAAGGAUGCCAAUCAGCCUUUUCUAUCAUGAUUUAUGUAGUGUUAAAUUUUUUGAAGUUUUAUAAAUAGUUGUUUACAUCUACAGUUGAUAUUCUCUCGAAUAUUGACAAAGAUGGUAAGGUGAUCCAAGAGUUUGUUCAGUUUGAUUUCAAAACAAAAUCAACAACUUUUGAAGCAUUGAAUGUUAAGGCUAUUUUUGGAGAGAUAUUAGAUAAAUUUCUUGUCUCGAUUCAAGCCUGAAUCGGGUUAACAAAUUCAUUUGGUAUCUUGUUAAGAAUAGCCUCAAUAUUCAAUGCUUCAGAAGCUGCUUAUUUGGCUUUAAGCUAAACAAACUUUUGGAUCACCUUACCAUGUUCACCAAUUUUCGAUAGAAUAUCAACUGCAAAUGUAAACACUGUUCUAUUUAUAAAACUUUAGAAAAUUUAACACUGCAUAAAUCAUGAUAGAAAAGGUUGAUCCUUAUCUAUGCAAGACAAUCGUGCAUAGGAGAUACCUCAUUGUAUGCCCAUCCAUUCCACAGCAGGAAACACAUUCUCUUUAUCAUAUCUUGCAAUAUGAAUAUAAAUCUUGACAAUCUUUCAUAACACAUUCACAGACAUUAAAUAAAAAUAUAAUUUAAGAUUAUACGAAAAGUCAAAUGAACAUUGCACUAAUUUGUUUUCACAAUUGUGUGGUUCUAAAUUCAUAUUUUUUAGAAUCUUGUAUAUUGUGAAACCUCCGUUGAGGAUCAACAAGUUGCAAGAGAAAGUGAAUUAGUAUGGUAGCUACCCUUUCAACCUGAAAAAGAGAAAAUAAUUAAUUAAUCCAAUAAUAAUAUUUCCUGAUGAUAAUAAAGUCACCAGAAUUAACAAUAACUUAUAAGAAUUGAAACAGUUUAAAUCAUUGAUGGACAAGAGUGAUUCACCAAGCAUUCUCGCCUAUGGAAGACAAUUGUGCAUAGAAGAUACCUUCUUAUUGUAUGACCAUCCAUCUUUCAAGAUUGGUGAAGAUGGUAAUGUAAUUCAGAAGUUUUUUCAGCUUGGUCUCAAAGUCAAAUCAGCAACUUCUAAAGCAUUGAAUGUUGAGGCUAUGCUUGAAGAGAUAUCAAAUGAAUUCCUUGAUCCGAUAUAGUAUAACUGAUGAGAGAUCCUGUCAUUUUACCUUCAUCAAGAAUAUAAGUAGACCGGCCAGUUAUCCAAAGGCGCUUGCUGAGUGACCGAUCCAUUCAACCAUUCCCAUCUCACUCAAGACAUGCUGAUACUCAACACAGAGCUGAAACAAAGAAUCCAAAAUUUCAUCAGAUCUGUAGAGGAAACGAAGCUGAGGGAAUGAAGCUUCUGAAGAUGUUUGUGGUUGAGUAAAUGCAGAUCAAAGCUGUUUACGAAAAUGACAAAGGGUGAAGCUGAAGGGCCACCUUUCUAGUCUUCAAUAGUGGGCGAAAUUGUUAUCCAUAUUCCAACACCUUUGUGACCGACAAAGACACAUUCAAGGCCUUACAAAAGGCUUCUGCUAUGAAUUGUAAAACUUUUCUUAUUCUUUCAUUACAUAACCUUUAGAGAAUUUAUACUCGUUUACAAGGUUUUUCCA